RNAcentral lists this ribosomal RNA (465 nucleotides) under uncultured bacterium. RNAcentral describes it as "partial 16S ribosomal RNA". It matches the Rfam family "Bacterial small subunit ribosomal RNA", at positions 339 to 795 of the family's 1533-position model. The record is from RNAcentral.
CUACGGGGUGCUGCAGUGGGGAAUAUUGCGCAAUGGGCGAAAGCCUGACGCAGCAACGCCGUGUGAGGGAUGAAGGCUUUCGGGUCGUAAACCUCUGUCGGAAGGGAAGAACGGGCAUUGGUCUAAUAGGCCUUUGUUUUGACGGUACCUUUAGAGGAAGCACCGGCUAACUCCGUGCCAGCAGCCGCGGUAAGACGGAGGGUGCAAGCGUUAUUCGGAAUUACUGGGCGUAAAGCGCACGUAGGCGGCCUUGUAAGUCAGGGGUGAAAUCCCACGGCUCAACCGUGGAACUGCCUUUGAAGCUGCAGGGCUUGAAUCCUGGAGAGGGUGGCGGAAUUCCUGGUGUAGGAGUGAAAUCCGUAGAUAUCAGGAGGAACACCGGUGGCGAAGGCGGCCACCUGGACAGGCAUUGACGCUGAGGUGCGAAAGUGUGGGGAGCAAACAGGAUUAGAUACCCGAGUAGUC